UUCAGAGGGUCUACUUUCUUGUAAGAUAGAU
Molecule: non-coding RNA, 31 nt
Filed under: Rattus norvegicus (Norway rat)
Lineage: Eukaryota; Metazoa; Chordata; Mammalia; Rodentia; Muridae
Source: RNAcentral